AAGUGACACUAUUCAAUUAGAGAACAAAGCCUGUGCAAAAGGAUUCAUUCCUCUACAAUAAGAUGGGGCAGAGAUACAUGCUAACUGAUGGUGUAGUGUUUUUUAGAUCCUGAAUCCCAGUGGAACAGCUGUCAUCAAGUGGUCUGAAGACCCCCACCAAGGAACCAAUUCAGCAGAAGAAUGCAGUUUUCUUCAUCUCUCUGUCCCAUGACUUCACCCUUUACUUUUCAAUCAAUCAGUGAUCCCCACACUUUAGCCCAUCACCCAUCCAGACCGCUUAAAAAAUCCAUCACCAGAUGUCUCAGGGAGGCACAUUUGAGGUUUCUUCUUGUCUCCUCCUUCAGCUGCUCUUUGAUUAUUAAACUCUUUCUGUGUGGCAACCCCUAGUGUCUCAGGAUAUUGAAUCACUCUGCAUUGGGCAAUGAACUUACGGUUACAAGACUGCUCCCCACAUCAGACAUGGUUGCAAAUAGUGUAUCCCC
RNAcentral lists this long non-coding RNA (482 nucleotides) under Homo sapiens (human). RNAcentral's name for it is "HSALNT0310932". Lineage: Eukaryota; Metazoa; Chordata; Mammalia; Primates; Hominidae. The record is from RNAcentral.